This 258-nucleotide long non-coding RNA is filed under the name Fukomys damarensis (Damara mole-rat). RNAcentral describes it as "lncRNA (ENSFDAG00000030432.1)". The record is from RNAcentral. Lineage: Eukaryota; Metazoa; Chordata; Mammalia; Rodentia; Bathyergidae.
CGCUUUUUUUUGUUGUUGUUGCAUGUCACCGGCUCAGAGAAACCAAGUGAAUAAGAAGAUUGUUUCAUUACCUCCACAAGAGGUGGAAUGAAAGCAGUUCCCAUCAGCUCAAGAUGAGAUGGAUUAAGGGAAAGGAGCUGCAAAGCAGAUCUCGACUUUCGUGGGAAGCUGUCUGUGGUAAAGAACCAGCAAGUACUUUUUUACUCGGUUUCUACUCUGAGUUUCCCCACGGUGGAUGCAAAUAUGGUUUGCAGUGGC